RNAcentral lists this ribosomal RNA (500 nucleotides) under uncultured bacterium. Its description in RNAcentral is "bacterial SSU rRNA". It matches the Rfam family "Bacterial small subunit ribosomal RNA", at positions 8 to 526 of the family's 1533-position model. The record is from RNAcentral.
AGAGUUUGAUCAUGGCUCAGAGCGAACGCUGGCGGCAGGCUUAACACAUGCAAGUCGAGCGGGCGUAGCAAUACGUCAGCGGCAGACGGGUGAGUAACGCGUGGGAACGUACCUUUUGGUUCGGAACAACACAGGGAAACUUGUGCUAAUACCGGAUAAGCCCUUACGGGGAAAGAUUUAUCGCCGAAAGAUCGGCCCGCGUCUGAUUAGCUAGUUGGUGAGGUAAUGGCUCACCAAGGCGACGAUCAGCAGCUGGUCUGAGAGGAUGAUCAGCCACACUGGAACUGAGACACGGUCCAGACUCCUACGGGAGGCAGCAGUGGGGAAUAUUGCGCAAUGGGCGAAAGCCUGACGCAGCAACGCCGCGUGAGUGAUGAAGGCCUUCGGGUCGUAAAGCUCUGUCGGAGGGAACGAAUGUCUCUGGGGUUAACAGCCCCGGGGAGUGACGGUACCCUCAAAGGAAGCACCGGCUAACUCUGUGCCAGCAGCGGCGGUAAUAC